CGUAUCAGGAACAACACCAAAUCAGAGGUGACUUGUGCCCCAUCAGAGACUUUAACACCCCAACCAGAUGGGAAUUUCAGGACCCAAGAAAUAGAAAGUGGCUGCAGGGUUACAACUACUGUUGGAUUCCUGAGGUAGCACAGUGUCCAAACAGGAUUUCAGCACUACCCGUAUUGCUUAGAGCCCCAGCCAAAGAUGUGAGGUUUUGCCCUUUGGAGAAUCUGUGCCCCUGAACUCGGGGGCCUCUUUCCACAUCUUGGGGGCAGGCAAGGGCAGAGGGUGUGCCUAGGCCUGCGGAUCAGCAUGCGACAGAUUCCCCAACAUCCUUCCAGCUUGAAAGGGGAUUGCCCUGCUUCUAUUUAGAACCUAUAGGAAAGCAGAAGUUCUAGAUUGAAGUUAAAAUUGAUUCCCAGCCUCCAGGGGCUUUGGGCUACACCUGGAUGACCUUAAUUGACCCUAAGCAUGGGACAAACCACUUCCUGAGAGUAUUAGGAUGGUAUACAUCUUCUCUGGGGGCAAAGCAACAAGAUUUAUUUUUCAUCAUGGACCAAACACAUGGAUACCCACUAGAAACUGUGUAGUGAAUUUUGUUAACCCUGACAUAGGGACCAUGGUCUUUAGGUUAAAGCAUAAUAACAACAUAAUACAUAACAUAUAUAGCGAAUAUAUAUAUGUAUUAUAUGCAAUGAAUGUAAAUAUGAUUAUACCCAUCAUGGUCUUGGAGGAAACAGAUGACACACUUAAAA
Molecule: long non-coding RNA, 746 nt
Organism: Homo sapiens (human)
Lineage: Eukaryota; Metazoa; Chordata; Mammalia; Primates; Hominidae
Source: Ensembl